AAGCGUGCAUAUACAUACAAAGUACUAACAACAAGAACCUAGAGCUCCUAAUGACCAAAACCGAACUGGGGGCUAGACAGCUAGCUCAGGAGAAAACAUUUGCUUAGCUUAUACAGGAUUCUCAGACCCAGGAAUAAAUAAGAUACAUAAAGAGAAAGAAAGAAAAAUUGACCCACAUGCUUGCUUACUCUUACCUGGAAUAGGCCCCAUUCCUACUGAGCCAAGUGCCUCAGGGUAAGCCCGUAAAGUCUUGUGCAUUUAUACUUUACCCAAGUGAUACUGAUAAUCAACAUAUUUUCAAACAAAUUUAAAGGUAGCAGCAUAUUUAUCUUAAAUAGGAUGAAAUUAUAAGCAGCAAGACAAAACUAAUUGAAUAUUAUAGACCUAUGCCAAAAUGACUCAGAUAUCAUUUGUACCUGUGACUCAAUUCACAAAGUUUGUAGUGUACAAUUUUUAAACUAAUUAAUUUACUUAAAAUUUGGUCUCAUGAAUUUGGCUUUAAGGAACCCUAUUUUCAGAGUAGCUGGACAGGCAAGAUGAUCUAGCAGGUAAAUGUGCCACCAGGUAAUCCAAAUCAAUGUCCCCAAGAGCAACACAGUGAAAGGAAAGAAGCAAUUCCAUAAAGCUGUUCUCCACAUACGCACACACUGUGCAUGACCAUGCACGCCCCUCUAGACAUGCAUGAAUGGAUAAGUGCAGUUCAGAAACUUUUAAGUAGCUUUGGAAACCUGUUGAAUAAGCCUGGCGUGCAAAUUUCAGUGCAGGAAAUUUUUAAUGUUUUUAAAUCAUCAUGUCAUAAUUUUAAAAUAACCAUUUUAAUGGCAAGUAUUAUAAACCCCAUGAGAAAGGUACUUGGUUUGCCUACCGUUAUAUUGCCAAGUGUCACAUUCAGGAAUGCUCAGUAAGUAACUUUUUGUUAAGUGAAAAACUGGGAGCUGGAGGAGAUGUGGCUCAGUUUGUAGAUUGAGCUACUCAGUUUGUAGCAUGCAUGAAGCCCUGGGCUCCCUCCUGGGCUUUGCAUAAAGCAGGUGUGAUAGCACAGGCCUAUAACCCCAGCACUUAGGAGGUAGAGGCAGGAGGGUCAGGAGUUUAACUAUAUAGUGAAUUUGAAGUGUGCCUAGAAUACAAGAGACACUAGUUUCAAAGAAAAGGCAUGGUGGGAUGUGGGUGGUCCUGAAAGAUGGUUCAGUGCUUAAGAGCAUUUGCCGCUCAUCCUCUCAACCUACGUAGCUACUUACAGCCAUCUGCAAUUGCAGUUCCAGCAGCUCUCUUCCCUUCUUCUGGCCUCUGCAGCCCCACAUGCACAAAUCAUGCACAGGCAUACAUGUAUGCAAAACACCCAUUCACAUACAGUAAAAGAACUUUUUAAAAAGAUAAAAACACCCGCACAACAUUACAUUGCUAUUUGUGGCAGCUGUGUUAAAAUUAGAACAGCUGAGGAGUUCUGUCCAGUUUUACUAUAAGUUUUUAAACAUUUUAUGUGUGAAUAUUUUGACACAUGUACAGCUGCACCAGGUGUCCAUCUGCUGUCCAUGGUAGUUAGAAGCAGCUGCUGGAAACCCUAGAACCAGAGGUACAGACAGCUUGUGAGCUGCUAUGUGGGUGCUGGGAAUCGAACCGGUGUCCUUUGGAAGAACAAUGGUCCUAACUGUUGAUCCAUCUCUCUAGCCCAGAGGGUUUGUUUGUUUGUUUGUUUUGUUCUGUUGUUGGAUUUUGGUUUGGUUUGGUUUGGGUUUUUUUGGUUUUCGGUUUUUUGUUUUUUGUUUUUUUUUUUUUUUUUUUUUUUUUUUUGGUUCUUUCUUUUGUCUUAAGAAUUUUUAAACUUUGUUCUUUGGCUGCAUUUAGCUUCUAUCCUUAAAACGCAUUCUAGAGGCCUUUUAUCAGAUGCUGUCUGGGAGUAUAAGACUUUAAAUAAAUUAAGAAUGAUUUUCGAUAAUGUGCAUUCCUUGUGUUUAAUAUUUGCACAAUGUAUUUUAAAUGAUUAAUGAAUCUUAAUCCAUUCUUCAUUUGCUUGAUUGUUUAACAGAUGUCAAAACAUACUCUGGGCUGUAGUUCAGUGGUAAAGCACACCUUCUUAGCAUGUAUGAGGCCCCGGUUCAAUCUCCAGUGCCCCCUGAACCACCUUCCCCUCAUUGAAAAAAGAAAGAAAGAAAGAAAGAAAGAAAGAAAGAAA
Rattus rattus (black rat) is the source of this 2173-nucleotide long non-coding RNA. RefSeq lists it as uncharacterized. The transcript is spliced from 2 exons. The record is from RefSeq and is a predicted model, not a curated record. NCBI's taxonomy places the organism in Eukaryota, Metazoa, Chordata, Mammalia, Rodentia, Muridae.